UCGGCUCAGUAACACGUGGACAACCUACCCUGAGGUCGGGGAUAAACCCGGGAAACUGGGUAUAAUACCCGAUAGAUCUAGAUCGCUGGAAUGCUUUUAGGUCUAAAGUUCCGACGCCUCAGGAUGGGUCUGCGGCCUAUCAGGGUAGUAGUGGGUGUAAAGUACCUACUAGCCUACGACGGGUACGGGUUGUGAGAGCAAGAGCCCGGAGAUGGAUUCUGAGACACGAAUCCAGGCCCUACGGGGUGCAGCAGGCGCGAAACCUUUACAAUGCUGGCAACAGCGAUAAGGGGACCUCGAGUGCUACGAUACAAUCGUGGCUGUCUAGUUGCCUAAAAAGCAAUUGAUAGCAAGGGCCGGGCAAGACCGGUGCCAGCCGCCGCGGUAACACCGGCGGCUCGAGUGGUAACCGCUAUUAUUGGGUCUAAAGGGUCUGUAGCCGGCUUAGUUAGUCUCUUGAGAAAUCUGGCCGCUCAACGGUCAGGCGUUCAGGGGAUACUGCUAAAGCUCGAGACCGGGAGAGGUGAGAGGUACUUCAGGGGUAGGGGUGAAAUCUUGUAAUCCUUGAAGGACCACCAGUGGCGAAGGCGUCUCACCAGAACGGAUCUGACGGCAAGGGACGAAAGCUAGGGGCACGAACCGGAUUAGAUACCCGGGUAGUCCUAGCCGUAAACGAUACUCGCUAGGUGUCGGCCACGGUGCGACCGUGGUCGGUGCCGUAGGGAAGCCGUGAAGCGAGCCACCUGGGAAGUACGGCCGCAAGGCUGAAACUUAAAGGAAUUGGCGGGGGAGCA
RNAcentral lists this ribosomal RNA (794 nucleotides) under uncultured archaeon. RNAcentral describes it as "bacterial SSU rRNA". It matches the Rfam family "Archaeal small subunit ribosomal RNA", at positions 83 to 878 of the family's 1478-position model. The record is from RNAcentral.